Molecule: ribosomal RNA, 89 nt
Filed under: Peribacillus faecalis
Lineage: Bacteria; Bacillati; Bacillota; Bacilli; Caryophanales; Bacillaceae
Description: Bacterial large subunit ribosomal RNA
Rfam family: Bacterial large subunit ribosomal RNA
Source: Rfam by way of RNAcentral
CCUGAAAGAUGAUCAGGUUGAUAGGUUGGAGAUGGAAGUGCGGCGACGCAUGGAGUUGACCAAUACUAAUCGAACGAGGACUUAACCAA